GGGUUGUAAACUGCUUUUGCCAGGGGAUAAAAUCCAUGCGUGGAAGAUUGAAGGUACCUGGUGAAUAAGCCACGGCUAACUACGUGCCAGCAGCCGCGGUAAUACGUAGGUGGCAAGCGUUGUCCGGAUUUAUUGGGUUUAAAGGGUGCGUAGGCGGCUUUGUAAGUCAGUGGUGAAAUAUCGCAGCUUAACUGUGAGGGUGCCAUUGAUACUGCAGAGCUUGAGUACAGAUGAGGUAGGCGGAAUUGACGGUGUAGCGGUGAAAUGCUUAGAUAUCGUCAAGAACACCUAUAGCGAAGGCAGCUUACUAGGCUGUAACUGACGCUGAGGCACGAAAGUGUGGGGAUCAAACAGGAUUAGAUACCCUGGUAGUCCACACUGUAAACGUUGAUUACUCGCUGUGUGCGAUAUACAGUACGCGGCCAAGCGAAAGCGAUAAGUAAUCCACCUGGGGAGUACGCCGGCAACGGUG
RNAcentral lists this ribosomal RNA (472 nucleotides) under uncultured Bacteroidota bacterium. Its description in RNAcentral is "bacterial SSU rRNA". It matches the Rfam family "Bacterial small subunit ribosomal RNA", at positions 420 to 896 of the family's 1533-position model. The record is from RNAcentral. Lineage: Bacteria; Pseudomonadati; Bacteroidota.